CCUACGGGAGGCAGCAGUGGGGAAUAUUGGACAAUGGGGGAAACCCUGAUCCAGCAACGCCGCGUGAGUGAAGAAGUAUUUCGGUACGUAAAGCUCUAUCAGCAGGAAAGAAAAUGACGGUACCUGACUAAGAAGCCCCGGCUAACUACGUGCCAGCAGCCGCGGUAAUACGUAGGGGGCAACCGUUAUCCGGAUUUACUGGGUGGAAAGGGAGCGUAGACGGCAGCGCAAGUCUGGAGGGAAAUGCCGGGGCCCAACCCCGGAACUGCUCUGGAAACUGUGAAGCUGGAGUGCAGGAGAGGUAAGGGGAAGUCCUGGUGUAGCGGUGAAAUGCGUAGAUAUCAGGAGGAACACCGGCGGCGAAGGCGGCUUACUGGACUGUAACUGACGUUGAGGCUCGAAGGCGUGGGGAGCAAACAGGAUUAGAUACCCGAGUAGUC
RNAcentral lists this ribosomal RNA (440 nucleotides) under uncultured bacterium. RNAcentral describes it as "partial 16S ribosomal RNA". It matches the Rfam family "Bacterial small subunit ribosomal RNA", at positions 338 to 795 of the family's 1533-position model. The record is from RNAcentral.